RNAcentral lists this ribosomal RNA (615 nucleotides) under Diplecogaster bimaculata (two-spotted clingfish). RNAcentral's name for it is "partial 16S ribosomal RNA". It matches the Rfam family "Bacterial large subunit ribosomal RNA", at positions 1791 to 2614 of the family's 2925-position model. Lineage: Eukaryota; Metazoa; Chordata; Actinopteri; Blenniiformes; Gobiesocidae. The record is from RNAcentral.
AAGCCUCGCCUGUUUACCAAAAACACCGCCCCCUGUACUACAAAUAUAGGGGGUCCCGCCUGCCCAGUGACUAUGGGUUCAACGGCCGCGGUAUUUUAACCGUGCAAAGGUAGCGUAAUCACUUGUCUUUUAAAUGAAGACCUGUAUGAAUGGCAAAACGAGGGAUUAGCUGUCUCCCCCUUUUAAUCAGUGAAAUUGAUCUCCCCGUGCAGAAGCGGGGAUAAAGACAUAAGACGAGAAGACCCUGUGGAGCUUUAAACACAAGGGACGAGCACAUAGAAACUACUUUUUAACAAGUAAGACUACCUGUUUCCUCCCUGCUGUUUUUGGUUGGGGCGACCACGGGGAAAAGACUAUCCCCCGCGAGGAAAGGAAGCACACACACCUCCUUAGAACAGAGCCUCCGCUCUAAAACACAGAAUAUCUGACCACCAGAUCCGGCAUAGCCGAUCAACGGACCGAGUUACCCCAGGGAUAACAGCGCAAUCCUCUUCCAGAGCCCAUAUCGACAAGAGGGUUUACGACCUCGAUGUUGGAUCAGGAUGUCCUAAUGGUGCAACCGCUAUUAAGGGUUCGUUUGUUCAACGAUUAAAAUCCUACGUGAUCUGAGUUCAG